Molecule: ribosomal RNA, 279 nt
Filed under: uncultured bacterium
Lineage: Bacteria
Description: partial 16S ribosomal RNA
Rfam family: Bacterial small subunit ribosomal RNA
Source: RNAcentral
UGCCAGCAGCCGCGGUAAUACGGAGGGGGUUAGCGUUGUUCGGAAUUACUGGGCGUAAAGCGCGCGUAGGCGGCUAUUUAAGUCAGAUGUGAAAGUCCACGGCUCAACCGUGGAAGUGCAUUUGAAACUGGAUGGCUUGAGUACUGGAGGGGGUGGUGGAAUUCCCGGUGUAGAGGUGAAAUUCGUAGAUAUCGGGAGGAAUACCGGUGGCGAAGGCGACCACCUGGCCAGAUACUGACGCUGAGGUGCGAAAGCGUGGGUAGCGAACGGGAUUAGAUA